Ribosomal RNA from Cebus imitator (Panamanian white-faced capuchin), 111 nucleotides. NCBI's taxonomy places the organism in Eukaryota, Metazoa, Chordata, Mammalia, Primates, Cebidae. The record is from Ensembl.
CCCUCUGGCACCAUAGCAGCCUGAGAGUGCCCCAGUUUAAAAGCUAAGCAGGGUCAGGCUUGACUGGUGCUUGGAUGGGGGACCACCUGGAGGAACCAAGAGCUGGAGGUU